This is a long non-coding RNA of Canis lupus familiaris (dog), 1204 nucleotides long. RefSeq lists it as uncharacterized. The record is from RefSeq and is a predicted model, not a curated record. NCBI's taxonomy places the organism in Eukaryota, Metazoa, Chordata, Mammalia, Carnivora, Canidae. The transcript has 3 exons.
UAAACUGUUCCGCGUAUAAAAUCACACAUGAUGGGGCCAUAAAAAUGUAGCUCUUUUCUGCCAUCAGUAAACUUUGAACGAGACAAUGAGGCUCUUCUGCAUACUUAUUGCUGGGGAUUUCCAGCUUUCCACAUGCACGCUCCCUCUAAGUCUGAUUUGUGUGGGAAUACCUUCCUGUUCCUUAGCAUCCUCAUGCAAGAAACGAAAAUGAAGACAAAAGGCGGUAUGAAGAAGCAAACACGAUGUUUCCCUAAACUGUAAAAGGGAUGGCUGCACGAUGGCUGCCUAGCGAGCUCAUGUGUUGGACCCAUUUUGUUUCAGCAGUUUCCUCAUUAUAUGCAUGACUGGGUGUAAGUUUGCAGAACACAAACCACUUUGGUGAGCCAUAAGCCUGUCACCAGCUCCUAUCAGAAAGGUGUUUCUCUACCUCUGCUGUUUGGGCCUAGCUUGAAGUGGACUUUAAAGCAGUAAUAAAUGACAUCUUCACUUACACACUGGGGCGAGCCUGAGGCCGUAAAUGUGCAAUCUGGUCAGCGGGUCCCGCUGUGGGCCUCGGUCCCACUCCAGCAGCAGCAACAGCAGCAACAGCAGCAGCAGCGCCUGGAGGUGUAGAGGCCAGUAAAGGGGGCGGCGGAAGAGGAGGAUUCAUCGUCUGAUCUUAGAGCCACAGCAACUUUUUCAGCAAACAGGCAGUUUGCUAUCCUGCAAGACCUGAAAUUUCUACAGAGCAAACCACAGCCUUUCAUUCACCCGGAGAUGACCUAGAGACCUGCUUAUUAUUUCAUAGUCCAGCCCAGACCAGGCCUCAGAGGCCAAGAUGCAAUCUCCAUCAGCAGCAAAAAACAUCUAUGGACCUGCAAGAAGUACAGAUCAUAUUUUGCUAAUAAUAUUUUGUUAAUAUCGUUGAGAACCAAAUGUCGCACUUAAAUGCCAUUUUCACUAGACAUUGCAUACUAAUACUAACUUAAUAGGGGUUUAAAAAGCAGCUCACUUAUAAUUUUAUUUUAUGUAAUGUAGCAGGUUUAUAUUAUCAAAGCACAGGUGUCUACAAACUAUGUGCCACAUCACAGAAAUACUAAUAUAGAAAAUUAGAAGUUAUUCCAAUAUAUAUUAAAAAUGAGCUUCCUGGGGAUCCCUGGGUUGCUCAACGGUUUGGCGCCUGCCUUUGGCCCAGGGCGUGAUCCUGGAGCCCCAGGAUCGAGUC